GAGGCGCCCCAGCCACGUGCGCCGUGCGCGGUGCUUUUUGUUUUAAUAUAAUUUUUAUUAAAUUUUCCGUUUUUACAAUUUAAAAUUCUCGUUUCUACAUCCUUAAGAUAUAUCAAUGACUUCCCUCCUUCUCUUUCCAUGGUUCAUUUUACAUCUCCUAAAUCCCUGCAUAUUUUACAAAAACUAUACAAUUUGAAUUUAUCUUAAUGCUGCCGGCGUUUUCAGUUGUAUGGCUUAGGUGUGUUUUAAUCCACUGGAGAAAGCAGGAGAUCCAGAGUUUCUAUGAGCUCAGCUUGAGCUUUCUUUUUUAAGGUUUUGUUAAUGCUGCUAAUCAUAUGGCUUUUGCUGUAUUUCUUUUACUUUUAUCAUUGAUAAACGAUUUUUUAUAUAAAUAAACUUAUAUAUAUAUAUGACAUUAAUAUGAAUCCAUAUAUCCAUAGAUCUCAGGGCUGUCCACAACAUAAAAGUGCAAUAUAAAAAAUACAUAAUAAAGCAAAAACAAACCAAUAGCUUCUCUCUCAUUGUAAUUGGGAUGUUUAGCGCAUCUUUUAGUUGCUGCUUCGUUAACAGUGUUUAUUGGUGCUCUGUUUGCUCUAGUCCCUGGCUGGUGCUAAGACUGGUUAUUGUGUAUUUUUUUAAAAAAAAAUAGUGCAUAGUUUUUAGUGCUGCCUUUGCUGUGAACCAAUGCUGGAUUAUAAAGUAAGUAAAUCUUAUUUUUAAACUUACUUUACAAGCUGUUGCCUGAUUUUUUCCAAAGAGGGAAGGAAGUCAGCUUCCUUUCUUUGUUGGACUUGGUCAAAGGCUUUGCAGCCUACCAUAAUUCCUAUGCUUUCAAUUUUGCUGCCAAGGAUGCGAUUUUAAAACUCUGUUUAACAGUCACACGUAGGGGGGAGGGCCUGGAAGGAUAAAUUGCAAUUAAUAUACCCUCCUAUAGCACUCAUGAAAUUAAGAGACACCUGCUUCUUGGGAGAAAAGCGAUGACAAACCUAGACAGCAUCUUAAAAAGCAGAGACAUCACCUUGCCAACAAAGCUCCGUAUAGUUAAAGCUAUGGUUUUCCCAGUAGUGAUGUAUGGAAGUGAGAGCUGGACCAUAAAGAAGGCUGAUUGCCGAAGAAUUGAUGCUUUUGAGUUAUGGUGCUGGAGGAGACUCUUGAGAGUCCCAUGGACUGCAAGAAGAUCAAACCUCUCCAUUCUGAUGGAAAUUAGCCCUGAGUGCUCACUGGAAGGACAGAUCCUGAAGCUGAGGCUCCAAGACUUUGGCCACCUCAUGAGAAGACCCUGAUGUUGGGAAAGAUGGAGGGCACAAGGAGAAGGGGACGACAGAGGACGAGAUGGUGGGACAGUGUUCUCGAAGCUACAAACAUGAGUUUGACCAAACUGCGGGAGGCAGUGGAAGACAGGAGUGCCUGGUGUGCUCUAAUCCAGGGGGUCACGAAGAGGUGGACACAACUAAAGAACAACAACAACCUGUUAAAAACCAUCCCAUAAGGGCAAGGAGGAAAAGAAGCGGAAUGAGAGUAGAGCAGCCGCUGGGGGGCAGCGGGAGAGGCAAUAGGAGACCCCUCAAAAACUGGACAGCUUCACUGCCAGGAGUAGGAAGGGAGCUGUGGCAAGAUGUGGGCAUAAAGGAAGAGUGGGUGGUGAAGUGAUAAAAAACCUGUAGGCAAUGCAAAUAUAUUCAGAGUGGUCCAGCCAGGAGCAAGGAUGGAAGAGCUGCCAAAUCAUCUUGGGAAAACAGGUGACUGGGCAAGAAAAUGGCAGAUGGGAUGCAAUUUGUAUAAGUGCAGUGAGGUGGCACCUUAGCAGGAAAUUGCCCCGACUCUCCGGAGGCAAGCCUGGGCUUUGGGUCAGCUCCUGCAGCUUGGGACAGGCGAAGUCUCUCCCCAAAACCCCACAGCAAUGGGGCAGCUCCCUGUGGCAGACAAGGAUUCGGGUGGCGUCAAGGGGCUUCCUCCCUCCCCAAAAGAGCAGCCCCUCUCCUCUUGCUAAUUAUGCUGUUUCAAAUGAUCGUUUUAUAUCUGACUUCCUUUAGUAAUGUUUUCUAUCGAAAUAACAGUUUGGAUUUUUUGGAUAUUUAAUAAUGUUUUCUAUCAAAAUAACGGUUUGGAUUUUUAGGUUAACUUUGCUGCGUUCAAUGUUCAUUCUGUAGUUCACCACUUUUGUAAUGUUUUCUUUUGAAAUAUUUUAAUAUUUUAGUUUCCUGCCAAUUAUGUUGCUAUGAACGUAUAUUUUAUAUUUGACUUUUGUCAGUAAUGUUUUGCUCUGGAUUGUUUGAUUUGAUGCUUUGAUGUGUGGUAAACCGCAUUUAAAUGUUUUUCUUGAAAAUAUGUUGAGUCUCUUUAGGUUAACCUAUUGAUGGUUUGUACAUUAUAUUAACCAAACCAGUCCAAACCAGAAAUUUCCAUUUGUACCAUUAUCCAGCCAUGGUUUGUAGAAUCAGGAAGGUGUUGCUUUCUCCUCACCCUUGCGUUACUAGAUGCCCUACUCCAUUUUUGAGUUGUGAUUGUCUGCUUCCCAUGCCAUUCCACACCAGGAAACUAUGGUUAGUGCUACCUCCAAACCACUGGUUCACAUGGGAUUGAAGAAGUGAGAGGAGUUAUGUGAUUUGAAUGACUAUCUGAAAUGAGCUGGUGAAAAUGGGGUCCCUCUGCGCCUCAGGAUACACUACUAGCUUGCCAUCUACACACAGAAACAUGUGUUGUGUCCAUCAGAAUUCAAUCUGUAUUAAGGUCCAAUGCAAGUAAUUUUUGUUUAGGCUCAUCAAAGCCCCUUCCUCAAUAAAUCUACUAUAUAAUUUUUGUUCUUAAAACUAUCUUAAAAGCUUUACGAUCCUAAUUCAUCUUCUCUGCACAGCAGAUGAUCUUUGUUAUUUGUUUUACAGCUAGAAAUGCCAUCUGAUCUCAGUCCUAAGGGCAAAAGGACUUCUAGGAAUUCAAAUUUGGCACUGGCGCCCAGUGAAGCAAUUCUGGUAGAAUGGAAGUAGGGGAAGGAACAUAAUUUAUGGGAGUUCUGGCAGAGAAAACAUCAAGUGAAUGGAAGCACAAGUGCCCACUGGAGGAGUGUAUUGAU
Molecule: non-coding RNA, 3070 nt
Organism: Podarcis lilfordi (Lilford's wall lizard)
Lineage: Eukaryota; Metazoa; Chordata; Lepidosauria; Squamata; Lacertidae
Source: the annotation of a GenBank genome assembly